ACCCUGGCCGGCCGUGCUUAAACAACAGCCAAGUCGAACCGGGAAAAGGCCUGCAGCUUCUCGGGUACUCGAGUGGCGAACGGGUGAGUAACACGUGGGUGAUCUGCCCUUGCACUUCGGGAUAAGCUUGGAAACUGGGUCUAAUACCGGAUAGGACACUGUUUAGUGUCAAUUUGGAAAGUUUUUUCGGUGCAAGAUGAGCUCCGGCCUAUCAGCUUUUGUGGGGUAAUGGCCUACCAAGGCGUCGACGGGUAGCCGGCCUGAGAGGGCGUACGGCCACAUUGGGACUGAGAUACGGCCCAGACUCCUACGGGAGGCAGCAGUGGGGAAUAUUGCACAAUGGGCGGAAGCCUGAUGCAGCGACGCCGCGUGGGGGAUGAAGGCCUUCGGGUUGUAAACUCCUUUCGACAGGGACGAAGCGUAAGUGACGGUACCUGUAUAAGAAGCACCGGCUAACUACGUGCCAGCAGCCGCGGUAAUACGUAGGAUGCGAGCGUUGUCCGGAAUUACUGGGCGUAAAGAGCUCGUAGGUGGUUUGUCGCGUCGUCUGUGAAAUUCCGGGGCUUAACUCCGGGCGUGCAGGCGAUACGGGCUGACUUGAGUGCUGUAGGGGAGACUGGAAUUCCUGGUGUAGCGGUGAAAUGCGCAGAUAUCAGGAGGAACACCGAUGACGAAGGCAGGUCUCUGGGCUAGUAACUGACGCUGAGGAGCUGAAAGCUAUGGGUAGCGAACUAGGAUUAGAUACCCUGGUAGUCCAUGCCGUAAACGGUGGGCGCUAGGUGUAGGGGGCUUCCACGUCUUCUGUGCCGUAGCUAACGCUAUUAAGCGCCCCGCCUGGGGAGUACGCCGCAAGGCUA
Molecule: ribosomal RNA, 857 nt
Filed under: uncultured Actinomycetes bacterium
Lineage: Bacteria; Bacillati; Actinomycetota; Actinomycetes
Description: bacterial SSU rRNA
Rfam family: Bacterial small subunit ribosomal RNA
Source: RNAcentral